This 1263-nucleotide ribosomal RNA is filed under the name Triticum aestivum (bread wheat). RNAcentral's name for it is "partial small subunit ribosomal RNA". Lineage: Eukaryota; Viridiplantae; Streptophyta; Magnoliopsida; Poales; Poaceae. The record is from RNAcentral.
AUGAGUCAAGACCAGGCUAAAGGAACAUUCAAGGCAGGUGGGGAUUGGAAUACCACAUUAACGAACUGGUCACAUGAUGCAAAAGACUUUUGGAAGAACCCAAGGGUAAAAAUUAUCCGAAUCGAGGUACUUGUAUCAUUGGUUGCUGGUGUCCUACUGUUCCUCGCCAUCUUUGGGUCCCGCCGUCGCCGAAGCAAAAAUGGUUUUCUCCAAAAAGGUCUCCUUGUCGCGUACACCUUGUCCUUCUCGCUCACAACGUACAUAAUCGGUUCCAUGCAAUCUUCUGACUUGAAGGGCGAAAUGUAUGGUAUUUGGGCCAUAUCUCUCUUAAUGCUUCAUUGCUGCACCGACUCUAUCACAAACUAUAGUCUUGAGGACAUCAGACAAAGAACAAGACUCGAAUACCAGGCUUUUGCCUACUUAAUAUACUCGUCGCUACUUCUAGCCACUGUGAUUAUGGAUAGUGGUACAAAAACCCUACCAAAUAUUUACUUCUUUCUCACCAUGAUUCCUGCAAUCGCCUUUGCCAGAUAUAUACACAGACUUGCGGUAUCUUGUCUAGCUGGUUACUCAUGGAACCUAAACAAAACUGUUGCUGAUUACAUGUAUGAUCAGCAAAAUGGGAGUGUAUCUGAUCCACCCACCAUGGAAGGUUGCCAUUACCUGGUCGACUGGCCCCUUAGCAAAUCCAAGUUUGAUGCUCCAACAUAUGCAACACAAUUAGCAGUGGAGUAUCCUGAUGAAGAAGAUAAAGUCAUUCACAUUGGGAAGAUUUGGCGGUGCCAGCAUAAGUCACUAGGCCCAGAGCUAAAAGAUGCAUGCCUUUCCUUCUCUCUUUUUCAUCUGCUGAGAAGGCGCUUCUUCGGGUUUUCCUGUGAUGAAUCCAAAGACAGGGCACGUAAUUUUGUCUUGGAGGUGCUCCUAGUGAACGGUGCCACAGACUACAAAAGGGUGUUCAAGGUUAUUGAAGUUGAGUUAGCCUAUAUGUUUGAUUUCUUCUUCACCAAGCAUGCUGUCACUUAUUACGAAUCAAUGGCUGUAACGAUUUGGUCACUGAUUUCGGCCAUCUUCAUAUCUGUCAUGGUGUACAUUACACUGAAGGCUCCGCUGAAGAUUUCUCAGGGCGAGUCCUCUGUCAUGGCCAACACAACAGUUGAUACUGUCAUCACCUUAGUUAUGCUUGCAUCCGCUGCUUUGCUUGAAUUGCUACAGCUAUGUUCUUUCUGGGCAGGUAUCAGUUUGUCAGAGAACAAGCAAGACUGA